RNAcentral lists this ribosomal RNA (490 nucleotides) under uncultured bacterium. RNAcentral describes it as "partial 16S ribosomal RNA". It matches the Rfam family "Bacterial small subunit ribosomal RNA", at positions 30 to 507 of the family's 1533-position model. The record is from RNAcentral.
AUUGAACGCUGGCGGCAGGCCUAACACAUGCAAGUCGAACGGUAACAGGAAGCAGCUUGCUGCUUCGCUGACGAGUGGCGGACGGGUGAGUAAUGUCUGGGAAGCUGCCUGAUGGAGGGGGAUAACUACUGGAAACGGUAGCUAAUACCGCAUAAUGUCGCAAGACCAAAGAGGGGGACCUUCGGGCCUUUUGCCAUCGGAUGUGCCCAGAUGGGAUUAGCUUGUUGGUGGGGUAACGGCUCACCAAGGCGACGAUCCCUAGCUGGUCUGAGAGGAUGACCAGCCACACUGGAACUGAGACACGGUCCAGACUCCUACGGGAGGCAGCAGUGGGGAAUAUUGCACAAUGGGCGCAAGCCUGAUGCAGCCAUGCCGCGUGUAUGAAGAAGGCCUUCGGGUUGUAAAGUACUUUCAGCGGGGAGGAAGGGAGUAAAGUUAAUACCUUUGCUCAUUGACGUUACCCGCAGAAGAAGCACCGGCUAACUCCGUG